Molecule: long non-coding RNA, 665 nt
Organism: Aptenodytes forsteri (emperor penguin)
Lineage: Eukaryota; Metazoa; Chordata; Aves; Sphenisciformes; Spheniscidae
Exons: 4
Source: RefSeq, a predicted model, not a curated record
CUGUGCGGGUGGAAGGAAGCGAGGCCCGGCAGCGCGGAGGAGUCAGCGCCUCGCGAGGUGACAAGGUCCGGACUGGCAGGCGGGAAGCACCUUCUGGUAGAUCUCUGCUGCACUCAGUUGCCUCCUGUGCCAUCCUAGUCAAACUACAGCAAGUCAAGGGCAUAGCUGGGAACAAAACGGGGCUUUGUUUGCAAGAUUCGUGAGAUGCCAUUCGGUUCAAUCCGCCUACAAAAUCCUGCGUUUGCCGACACCCGCGGAAAACCGCUGCCUACCAAACGGACACAGAUAACACCCAGGGCUGCACAGCAGUAGGAAGGGAGCAGAGGCCCAGCAACAGCUUUGUGAUUGGUUUGAGGGAAACCGGCCUGCAUUUGCCUGACACACGGAGCUUCUACAGGAGGGGAAUGCUCUGGGGAGCUUCUCGGCCUCUGCUGCCUUGCGUUUGUAUUAAAACUCAGCAUUGCAAUAGCGUUACAGAGUGAGCACUCAGGACUGGUCUGAAAAUACUCUAAAAGGCACAUGGCAAUGUAUGUCAUGACAAGAUGGAGUUUUGUAAUGGGAAGAAAUGAAGAUGAUACAGUGCUGUUCUUCAUCUAAUUAGGGGUGUGUUCCAGCAGUACAGCUGCCCAGAGAGAUCCUGUCCGGGGAGCUAUUUACAACGGGGA